CAGUCGCCGCGGUAAUACGUAGGUCCCGAGCGUUGUCCGGAUUUAUUGGGCGUAAAGCGAGCGCAGGCGGUUAGAUAAGUCUGAAGUUAAAGGCUGUGGCUUAACCAUAGUACGCUUUGGAAACUGUUUAACUUGAGUGCAAGAGGGGAGAGUGGAAUUCCAUGUGUAGCGGUGAAAUGCGUAGAUAUAUGGAGGAACACCGGUGGCGAAAGCGGCUCUCUGGCUUGUAACUGACGCUGAGGCUCGAAAGCGUGGGGAGCAAACAGGAUUAGAUACCCGGGUAGUCCCUGUCUCUUAUACA
RNAcentral lists this ribosomal RNA (301 nucleotides) under uncultured bacterium. RNAcentral describes it as "partial 16S ribosomal RNA". It matches the Rfam family "Bacterial small subunit ribosomal RNA", at positions 509 to 808 of the family's 1533-position model. The record is from RNAcentral.